Molecule: ribosomal RNA, 245 nt
Filed under: uncultured bacterium
Lineage: Bacteria
Description: partial small subunit ribosomal RNA
Rfam family: Bacterial small subunit ribosomal RNA
Source: RNAcentral
AGAAUCAACGCUGGCGGCGUGCCUAACACAUGCAAGUCGAACGAGAAAGUGGAGCAAUCCAUGAGUAAAGAGGCGCACGGGUGAGUAACACGUGACUAACCUACCUUCGAGUGGGGAAUAACCUGGGGAAACCCGGGCUAAUACCGCAUAAUACCUACGGGUCAAAGGAGCAAUUCGCUUGAAGAGGGGGUCGCGGCAGAUUAGUUAGUUGGCGGGGUAAUGGCCCACCAAGACGAUGAUCUGUA